Long non-coding RNA from Gasterosteus aculeatus aculeatus (three-spined stickleback), 1007 nucleotides. Lineage: Eukaryota; Metazoa; Chordata; Actinopteri; Perciformes; Gasterosteidae. The record is from Ensembl.
AGUUUACUUUAUAGCAACCUAAUAAUGCCAUCGUGAGCAUUAUAUCGUUAGUAUGCUGUAUCAUAAAAAUAGUGAGUCUGGUGCUUCCUGUUGCGCAAAUGUUGUAACAACCUAUAGGUUUAUCUGUGUCAUCAUUACGCUGCAUGAAUAGAUUUGGUCUGAAAAAAACUGUAUAUUAUAGAUUAUAGAUUCAUCAAAAUCAAUAUUGAAGGGAAAGUUUUAGCAAAUCAAAUUCAUUCAUAGAUGCUAUAUAGUGUUAUUACCACUUUUAAUGAAUAGAAUGUUUUUGCAACAUACCGAAGCUUCCUUUCCACCAUGAUCAACACUUUCAACAACUAGUCGCGCCAAAAUAAAACAAACGUUUUUAUCCAAUUCUUGCUCGAUGCGAGAUAAAACGCCUUCGCCACCGCUUCCUCUAAUGCAAUGGGCCUUUAUUUCCAUUACUUUAUAUUUGAUUUUGCAUCUCAGCAGCCACCCACAGGCACAAAAACACCGCCUGGUUCGGCUGCCUUGAUUAUUGUAAUGUGCUAACCAGCUUCUAGGGUACGUCUCUCACUGGUUCCGCUCAUGAAUUCACACAUUUUGGAUCAGAUUGUGGUCCUGAAUGGACUGAGCCGACCCGCCAAAGGAAUGAACUUCAUUUAAUCAUCCUCAAAGCCGAGAGAGCAAAGACAAAACCCAUCUUGCCAGAGUGAUAAACCCAGAAAUGUUUUCAUGAUGGGGUCUCUCCUGGUCUCUCCUGGUCUCGCCUGGUCUCUCCUGGUCCCUGCUGUCCUGACGACGCCACAGAGGAGCCCUCCCAGUGCGCAGCGUAAAAGAAAUAGGGUAAUUCGACAGACUGUGAAGUGGAAAGGGAGAAGACAUAAUUAUCUCACCUUUUGAAAGUUUGAGCAGAGGUGUUGGAUUCAUACACUUCACUUAUUUGCUGCUGUUCUGCCGCAUUAAAACCCUCAAAUGCUGAAUUAUAAUCAGCUCACCAAAACCUCACAAGAGAUGCUGAAACCAAG